Long non-coding RNA from Lathyrus oleraceus (garden pea), 1640 nucleotides. RefSeq lists it as uncharacterized. The record is from RefSeq and is a predicted model, not a curated record. Lineage: Eukaryota; Viridiplantae; Streptophyta; Magnoliopsida; Fabales; Fabaceae. The transcript has 2 exons.
CUCAACCAAUGACCCUUUGACACAUCACCAAAAAAUAAAAGCUAAAGAGGCACAUAUAAUAAAAAAUCCAACAAAUGCCUAGGAGAAAGGUGGCCACUCUCAACGUCUCUCUGGAGUCUCUCUCCUCUCUCUCACUUCAAAAAAAAGAAAAAAAGAAAAAUCUUUUCUUCUUAAAAAGAAGGUCACCUCACCCACUUGGGACACUCUCUAAUCUCUCACACACGCGAAGAUGACUCGGUAACUGAAAAAACAAAAAAAAAAAAAAGAAAAAUGUUUCCUCUCCUCUUCAACCCUAAAUCGCCGCCACCCUCUUCUUCCUCACAAAAACCCUAGCCGCCACUCACCUUCAACCCGCCUCCACCCACCUUCACUCCACGAAAUCCUCACUCUCCAGCUUCCUCUUCCACAUACCGUCCCUCACCUUACGAACCUUACGAACCCUCAGCCACCACAAACCUCCAUCAUCUUCCACCAUCAAAGCACCACCGUUCAUCUCCUCCGUCCUCCACCAACACAAUCGUUCUUCAAGAUUCAUCACCAACACCGACAAACCGUCUCCACCACUCCAAAUACAAAUCCGCUCCACAUUCACUCAACAACAACUCCCAACUCACAGCCGUCGGACCUUCAUCAACAACGGUCUUCACCGUCUUUAUGUGUAGAUCUCGCGAAACCAUCACCAAGAAGUUUAGGGGUUUGUUGCGUACUCUUCUGUUUUUCAGGUACCGAUCUUGUUUUUCUCCAACAACCACACAACGACGUCGUCUCUCGUACACUCCGGCGACACCCCAGAUCCAAUCCCUUCCGCUUACGGUCCUGUUUGCCGGCACGAUUUAGACGAACAAAUUGGGGUUGUCGGUUCUUGGUUCACGGAAGUGUUCCGGCAAAGAGUUAACAGAAACACUUAACGUCUUCAAGACCCGAGCCAGCUGCGGAUGCUUGCAAUUGCAAGGGGAAGGAGAAGAAAUUCACUUGACUUUCAUCGAUAUUAACACAGGUAUUGUCGAUUUGCUUCUCACUUGAAAUGGUAGUUUCAUACAUGCCGAACAAAGCAAUCGUAAUGAAGUCACUUGUACAGAAUAUGAAUUUGGUUCUUUUGGUGAAAUGUUUUUUUUUCGGUAACAUUAGUCUGCUCUUCUUUGGUAACUAACUUUUUCAUCUAUGUUAAAUCUAUACAAUGUUGAAUCAUGGUUGUUUACUGUGAAUUGGGAUUCCAAGUUGAUAUGUCAAUUAACAUUGCCGUGUGAUAGCAGGAUGAAUGAACCGUUUUAUUUUCCUUAGCUCCUUUUUCAUUUGUUGGAUUUGUUUCACAUAAUAUGGUUGAGUGCUUAGUUUCUGCUGAUUUGUAGGUUACCGUGAAUAUUAAUAUGCAACAAUCAUGUAUUUUUUUUAUCAUUUACUCUGUAGGAUAUAAUGAAUGUUAAUAUAUAACAAUUAGGUAAUGUUUUUUGUUCUGUUAUAUGUCUUAUUGUUUUUUUCUAUUAUAUCAUGGUCUAGUGAGAACUUCACAUGUUAUGUAAUGGGUUAAUAAGGACUCUGUCACACAACUUGUAUUCCAUAUUUAGUUAGCUUCUAAGUCUUUAUGUAUUUAAAUAGAUAUUUGAUAAUAUGAUAAGUAAUAUUGGGUGUUACUCUUUAAA